RNAcentral lists this ribosomal RNA (253 nucleotides) under uncultured bacterium. RNAcentral describes it as "partial 16S ribosomal RNA". It matches the Rfam family "Bacterial small subunit ribosomal RNA", at positions 524 to 776 of the family's 1533-position model. The record is from RNAcentral.
GACGUAGGAGGCGAGCGUUGUCCGGAUUCAUUGGGCGUAAAGAGCGCGCAGGCGGCUUGGUAAGUCGGAUGUGAAAUCCCGAGGCUCAACCUCGGGUCUGCAUCCGAUACUGCCCGGCUAGAGGUAGGUAGGGGAGAUCGGAAUUCCUGGUGUAGCGGUGAAAUGCGCAGAUAUCGGGAAGAACACCCGUGGCGAAGGCGGUUCUCUGGGACGGUACUGACGCUGAGACGCGAAAGCGUGGGGAGCGAACAGG